UUUCGUUGACACUCUCACUAACGCAAUUGCGGUGUCCGUAUUUAAUAAUAACAUAAUAUACAUACACUAAUGCAAACAAGUUCUUUAUUCUCUGGACUUGAGUAUUUUCCGGAUUCUCCCUCUGUAUCCUUAUUCGACGCUCACCGGCUCACGACGCGGAUUAUCAUGUAUUAUGCUUGUAUACUAUAUAAUGCACUAUUUUAUUUUUUCUCAUUUGUGUUAUAUGCAAUUAUAUAUUAUUUAAAAAAGUUCUAAAAAAGAGACAACAGUUGGACAGAGGUUAAACCAAGCUAACGAAUGGAUCAAUCGAAUGGACAAUAGCUGCAAAUUAAAUCGCCAUCUGUUCAGUGCUGGCACUGACACUGGCACUGACAACUUUUCAUUUAAAAAUUUAACUACCAAUUAUUGGAUUGCGGAUAUUCUUGUUGAGCAGGUUACAUUUGGAGGAAUUCGCCAGCUAUCAGUAACACCUAUAAAUUUGUACCAGCUUAAUAUACAUUAAAAUUUGAUUAUACACCAGCAGUAUAUACUGACAAUUUUGUUGAAAUAAGUAUUAAGAGCAUUUAAUACUUAUUAAUAUAAGUAAGUAUUUAGAAGUUUCUGUAAUACAAGAAGGACAAAACUAUAUGUUUUAUGUAUUUCAAGAAACUGAGGAUUUUCGUGAGUAAAAUUCAUGUUACUACUAAAAAAAACUUUUUCUUUGCUUAUGUUAAAUUCAAUUCUUGUAAAACUACAAUCAGUUUAAUGUAGAUUUUCAGUAUUCGUUUAAUUUGACUAGCUGCAGUUGGUGAUAUUAAGACUUUUAUAUAAUUUAUUUAAGAUGACACUUUACGUGCACUGAUUUUUCAAAAUGAUAUUGUUACUUAUAUUAAAAUUGUCAUUGUUACGACUUCAUUUUUGUUUAAUUACAGGAAUAAGUGUGGCAGUGAUUACCAUCCUCUGAAAUAAAAAUUUAUCCCCCAGAAAUUAAUUAAAUAAAGUAAAUUUAUACACAAUUUCAGAAAUUGCAGGAACAUUCCAUUAUGUAGAAGCUGUUUAUGAAAAUUUUAUUUUCACAAAGAAAAGUAAAUUUUUUACCCAGACAAAAUGUUCUGCCACGCUCAAAAACUCUGGCCAUUAGCGUUGAUGCCCAAAGGCAGCUGGGAUUUCUGCCUUUAUCCGAAAUUCCAACAACACCAAAGUCGAAGACCAAUCAGCACCAACAGACUGUACUCAUUAUAAAGUCAACUGGUAUUCAGCAUCAACAUGGACUACCUGGUAGACCGACGACUCCUAUAUCUCAACCAACCACUCCUAACCGUAUUCAUCAAAGGAAGCACCCAAUCGGACAAUUACUUACACCACGUUCAGGCCGACCACAUAUUAAAUUUUUAAGUGGAGCUGGACAAGUUAUGGUUCAAUCAAAGGAGGGUCCAGAGAUUUUAAAACUUUCGAAAGAGAAUUUUCAAAUGAUAGAGAGUAGAUUUGCGAGCUUAAAUCAAAAAUUGGACCAGGCGGUAGUGCGUUUUGACGCAUUAGAAGCUAAUAUGAACUCUUUGAAAUUUUCUACUGGUGCUUAGUUCGAUAAACCAUCCACAAGUAUGAUGAAUCAACACCUCAGCAACGCGAGCCAAUGAGAAAUUAUUUACUUUUUUAUAAUAUGCACAAUAACGUCAAAUCUAACAUGCGGAGCAUUCUGCAGUACGAAAGAUUAAUGACUGAUGAAUUAUUGACUGAUGUUAUUUGGAAAGGAAAAAAGGGCCAAAAGACUUCAAAACUCACUCUAGUUAAGAAAUGCAUCACUCAUGACUUAAGCACCGUUAUGAAGCAAAUGUACCCGAGCACGACCUUUUCUGAAUUCAAAGGAGCUGUUCUAACAGCGUUGAACGCUGUUAAUGCUAGAGUUUACGCAAAAAAAAAAAAAUAAGCUCCAAGCGGACGAGAAAAAAUGAUAAGGGUGCCAAGGCUGUCAAGUCAAAAAAAAAUCAAGAUGUCAGAUGAAGAUUUUUUUCAAAAUGAGUGGAAUCCUAAAAAUGUCAACAGUGAUGAUGAGGAGACUUCAGGUGAGGAUGAAAAUGAGGAUGGGGAUGAUGUUAGCGGUGACGAUGAAAACACUGGUGAUAAGAACGAGGCUCAAGGUCAUCAAGACGGCCAUGCCAGUCCACAAAUCGCAAACCCAGCUAUAUGAUUUUAAUCUAAUGUAUUAAGGAUUUUUUUUAUUUUUAAAAA
Cotesia glomerata is the source of this 2208-nucleotide long non-coding RNA. RefSeq lists it as uncharacterized. Lineage: Eukaryota; Metazoa; Arthropoda; Insecta; Hymenoptera; Braconidae. The transcript has 7 exons. The record is from RefSeq and is a predicted model, not a curated record.